Long non-coding RNA from Antechinus flavipes (yellow-footed antechinus), 2455 nucleotides. RefSeq lists it as uncharacterized. The record is from RefSeq and is a predicted model, not a curated record. The transcript is spliced from 3 exons. Lineage: Eukaryota; Metazoa; Chordata; Mammalia; Dasyuromorphia; Dasyuridae.
GAGAGAAAGGGGCGGAGCUUGGAGCUUUUUUAAAGGGGCUGAGUCUUAUUAUUUUGUGGCUUUUGAUACUCUCUACUGGAUAAUGCUGCGGCCCGCCCUGCUUUUUCCCUAUCCUUCUUUUGCUCCUCACCAAUUCCCCGCUCUUCGCCUGUGGUCUCCCCCCUCCUCCCCCCCGCCAUCCCCAGCAGGUGGGAAACAAGAAAAGACGGAUGACCUGGGGCCCUUUUUAAGUAGACAUUUAGGGAGGAGCCCCUUGAUCCACGUUCCAUUCUGAGGUUCUGGGGUAGAAGGUGUGAGUCCCAAGGCUGAGGAUCUGAAGCAAAGGAGGGACCUGAAGAGGGACCUUACUGCCGCCCCUUACACACGCACGCACACGCACACGCACGCACGCUACUCUUUUCGCCUUCUCCCGCAGCCACCAUCCCUAUUACAGAACAAUCUGAUGUUUUAGUGAGUUAAUCGACAUAGCUCAUGACUUUCUCCAGAUUUAUUCUUCAGGAAAUGAAUUAGGAGAAAAGGAAUAAGAUGGUGGAAGCAGUCCAGGGUUACUGAAUUUGGCAAUGAGUAUAAGUAAUAUAUAAUUAUGAUACAUAAUUUUCUUGCUUAUAAAUAAUAGGGCAAGGAGGCAAGAAUUGAGUGAAGAGGUAUAGUAUUAGUAUAGUUAUAGUAUAGUUACAGUAGUAGUAGUGCACUGAUAGUAUACGGUUGAACUGAUUCCCAAAGGGAUUGAGAUAGUGAAGAUUGGAAAAUAUGAUUUGUAGCCUGAGAUAAUGAUCUGGGAAAGGGAGGACAAAGAAUAGUGUUAGAGAUCCUAAGGAAGAAGAAAGAUGGAAUAAAAAAGAAUUAUGAUUAAAUAAAAAAAAUUUCAGAGUUCAUGAACUCUAAAGUAGAACACUGUAAGGCCAAUGGUUACAACUAUCUGUGGCUAUUUGAGGGGAAAUGUAGGAGCAGACCAUGGCAAAUAGAUGGAGGAAUUGGGAAGUUUGGGUACUUGAAGGAACAUCAAUAUGUAUAAUAUUAUUAUUAAUAAUAAUAAAUAUAAGAGUUGAGAAAUUAAUUUCAUUAUUUCUUACAGAGAGAUAAAACACUAGGUUUUAAGCAUUGAUGGGGUACAGCUUCUAAGAGACGUGUAGCAAUAAUCCUAAAGCCACCUAGCUUUAGGAGUAAUGUAGUUAAAAAUAAUAUAUUUCUGCCCCUAGCUUCUAGGGGAGAUGAAGUGAUAACCCAAGUUCCUCUGGCCUUAGUAGUGAUAUAGUUCUACCUUUAUUGCAGGCUGUCAGAUAACAAUCUGUUAGUCAAUAAUUACAGAGUUUCUGAGACAAUAAUGAGGUGCAUACCAGACCACUUCUCAAAUCCACCUAUAAGCCAUAAAAUUAGCAUAUCAGUGAUAUGAAGAACCUGGUUUCUAACUUUUUUCUUCAGUUUUAUCUUCUUGCUCCUUGGUCUUUGCUAAAUUCUUUUGGAACUUAGCCUGCUGUAAUUGGCAUUAGUUAAAAUAAACUUUGCUCCUUGACGUGGAGAUGGGUUCGAGCCUGCAAAUUCUUUUGAAACACCUCCAGACACCAGUCUGGAACACCAACCUUUGAUGGCCCUGUAUAGGGAGAAUCUGCUUUCCCCUGACUUCACCCCCUCCAUGUCAAGAUUAAGAAAAGAGAAUGCUGAAGAAUUGUAGAGAGAUUCAAAUUCUGCCCCACCUAUAGAAAUGGAGGAAGCAGCAACAGCAAUGGUGACCCCACACACCUUGCCCAAGCACUUCUCCAACUCAGUUUGAGGGGUGGGGGGUGAGAAUGGGGAUCAUGCUUCAUGGUCAGCAUUGCCUGAGUCCUGGCACCUGAAACUGAGAGUCUGGCACCAGCUACCCCAGCCACCAGCCUCUGCUUUUGGGAGUCAGACUUCUGAGGACCCAAUCAGUAAAAACUGGCACUUAUCCCUUUCCUGGCUCAAAAAAAAAGAAAUGGUUUGUAUGAAUUGGAAAAUUACCAGAUGGCAAUUCAAUUUGUCUGGAAUAUUUAAUUAUAAUUUAGGGAAUCUCAUAAAUUAAAGUUAAAAUUUAAAUUACUUUUAAAAUAGUGUGUAUGUUAAAAUUGGAAACCUGAUUGUACAUUAUAUGAGACUCAUUCGUUUUUCAUGAUUCUGCUCUAUCUCAGUUUUUAAAAUUGUCUUGUUUUCUCCCUAAAACAAAAGGUAAAAUUAUUUAAGGGAACAGGAGGGGAAGCCAGAACCCUCCCGAGAACUUCCAAAGCUACAGUAGCCUAGAGACAGAAUAAGCUGAACAACUAAAAGGUGGAAAGUUCAUUUAUUUAUAUAUUUAUUUUUCUUUCUUUCUUUCUUUCCUUUUUAAAUUGUAACUUUUUAUUGACAGAACAUAGCCUGGGUAAUUUUUUUUACGACAUUAUCCCUUGUGCUCACUUCUGUUCCAACUUAUCCCUUCCCUCCCUCCACGUCUUCCCCUAGA